This 442-nucleotide ribosomal RNA is filed under the name uncultured bacterium. RNAcentral's name for it is "bacterial SSU rRNA". It matches the Rfam family "Bacterial small subunit ribosomal RNA", at positions 956 to 1397 of the family's 1533-position model. The record is from RNAcentral.
GCAACGCGAAGAAUCUUACCUACUCUUGACAUCCAGCGAAGCCUUUAGAGAUAGAGGCGUGCCUUCGGGAGCGCUGAGACAGGUGCUGCAUGGCUGUCGUCAGCUCGUGUUGUGAAAUGUUGGGUUAAGUCCCGCAACGAGCGCAACCCUUAUCCUUGUUUGCCAGCACGUAAUGGUGGGAACUCCAGGGAGACUGCCGGUGAUAAACCGGAGGAAGGUGGGGACGACGUCAAGUCAUCAUGGCCCUUACGAGUAGGGCUACACACGUGCUACAAUGGCAGAUACAGAGGGCAGCGAGACAGCGAUGUUUAGCGAAUCCCUUAAAGUUUGUCGUAGUCCGGAUUGGAGUCUGCAACUCGACUCCAUGAAGUCGGAAUCGCUAGUAAUCGUGGAUCAGAAUGCCACGGUGAAUACGUUCCCGGGCCUUGUACACACCGCCCGU